GGGGAUAUAGCUCAGCGGUAGAGCAUUCAACUGCAGAUCGAGAAGUCCCCGGUUCAAGCCCGGGUGUCCCCU
Molecule: non-coding RNA, 72 nt
Organism: Acanthaster planci (crown-of-thorns starfish)
Lineage: Eukaryota; Metazoa; Echinodermata; Asteroidea; Valvatida; Acanthasteridae
Source: the annotation of a RefSeq genome assembly